RNAcentral lists this ribosomal RNA (460 nucleotides) under uncultured bacterium. RNAcentral's name for it is "partial 16S ribosomal RNA". It matches the Rfam family "Bacterial small subunit ribosomal RNA", at positions 338 to 795 of the family's 1533-position model. The record is from RNAcentral.
CCUACGGGUGGCAGCAGUGAGGAAUAUUGGUCAAUGGACGAGAGUCUGAACCAGCCAAGUAGCGUGAAGGAUGACUGCCCUAUGGGUUGUAAACUUCUUUUAUAUGGGAAUAAAAUGUUCCACGUGUGGGAUUUUGUAUGUACCAUAUGAAUAAGGAUCGGCUAACUCCGUGCCAGCAGCCGCGGUAAUACGGAGGAUCCGAGCGUUUUCCGGAUUUUUUGGGUUUAAAGGGAGCGUAGGUGGAUUGUUAAGUCAGUUGUGAAAGUUUGCGGCUCAACCGUAAAAUUGCAGUUGAAACUGGCAGUCAUGAGUACAGUAGAGGUGGGCGGAAUUCGUGGUGUAGCGGUGAAAUGCUUAGAUAUCACGAAGAACUCCGAUUGCGAAGGCAGCUCACUGGACUGCAACUGACACUGAGGCUCGAAAGUGUGGGUAUCAAACAGGAUUAGAUACCCUUGUAGUC